Molecule: non-coding RNA, 74 nt
Organism: Poecilia latipinna (sailfin molly)
Lineage: Eukaryota; Metazoa; Chordata; Actinopteri; Cyprinodontiformes; Poeciliidae
Source: the annotation of a RefSeq genome assembly
GGCUGGUUAGCUCAGCUAGUUAGAGCGUAGUGCUAAAAAUGCCAAGGUCAUGGGUUCAAUUCCCAUGCUAGCCA